Xiphophorus couchianus (Monterrey platyfish) is the source of this 821-nucleotide long non-coding RNA. RefSeq lists it as uncharacterized. The transcript is spliced from 5 exons. NCBI's taxonomy places the organism in Eukaryota, Metazoa, Chordata, Actinopteri, Cyprinodontiformes, Poeciliidae. The record is from RefSeq and is a predicted model, not a curated record.
GCCUCUUCCGCGUCACCGUCUCCGGCUAGUGCACUAGGAGUGCUGCUGCUGCUGCUGGUUCCGCCGCCGCUGCCGCCAUUCCUGGCGGAGUCCUCCGGGUUGGGAGCCGCCGCUGCCAUUCUGCUACCAGCUCUGGAGACAUGUGCUCCGGCAGCACAUAGGAGAUAUCAUCCCAGGGGUGGCGAUACAGACCCUGCUUCAGCCUCUUCUGGUCCAGGUUCUGAGCAAGUCCACAAAGGCCACACCAAUGAAGCCAUCCACAUUCAAGAUCAGGUUGGGCUUCUAGGUACCUGUACACGACUGAGGCACCUCCUCCAGCCACCAUGGUCCAGAUUCUGCCUCGAGGAUUCAACAGAGUCAGUUUGAGACUGGCACCGCUCUUUGCAUCAAGAUCAGCGAUAAUUGGAUCGAUGAAAACCUACCCAGAGGGUUGAUCUCCAGGUAUGUGAAGAAGAGAUCCUCAUACAGAUUGAAGAGUCCAACGAUGAAGCUGGCAAGAAUCCUGCAAAAGGAUGACGAUAAAGCAGAUUUCUCCUUGUGCAUGAUUUCAAUAAUCAAUGCAAAGAUUUAUCUUUCAUUUCCUAAGCCGUUAAUUCUUCUUUUAUAACAUAAAGCAAUGUGCGAGUAUUUUUAAUCGGCUCUAUGUUCUAUAAAGAAAAACUGCAAAAGAGAUAAGAAGCUAGAGCACAAAAAGCAAGACGUUCAGCUGGCCUUGAGAACUUGCCUGAAAUUAAAACAUUGUAUGAAACAGAACUUCAGGGGCCAUAACUGGAUACAGUGUGUAAGAUUUUACAUUCUAUUAAAUUUUGUGUCUAACUGCA